UAUUUGCGUUGGUGAAAUAAAGUGAAUAUGUGAAUCAACUCCACCUGCUGUUAUUACUUUUCCUUCAGCAGAAAGUAUCUCAGUAUUAGCACCUAUUUCUAAACCUUCAGUUAUUCCAUCACAAAGCUCAGGAUUUCCAGCUUUUCCAAUAGCUAAAAUCUUUCCAUUCUUUAUUCCAAUAUCAGCUUUGUAAAUACCAGUAUAAUCAAUAAUCACAGCAUUUGUAAUAAUCAAAUCAGCAACAUCAACAGCUUUUGGACUUUGAGCCAUUCCAUCUCUAAUA
Molecule: small RNA, 283 nt
Organism: Arcobacter sp.
Lineage: Bacteria; Pseudomonadati; Campylobacterota; Epsilonproteobacteria; Campylobacterales; Arcobacteraceae
Rfam family: 5' ureB small RNA
Source: Rfam